Molecule: ribosomal RNA, 451 nt
Filed under: uncultured bacterium
Lineage: Bacteria
Description: partial 16S ribosomal RNA
Rfam family: Bacterial small subunit ribosomal RNA
Source: RNAcentral
GUGGGGAAUAUUGCGCAAUGGGGGAAACCCUGACGCAGCAACGCCGCGUGAGUGAGGAAGGACUUCGGUCUGUAAAGCUCUGUUAAUGUGGAAAAAUGGUAGUUGGUCUAAUAGGCCGAUUAUUUGAUGGUACACAUAGAGGAAGCACCGGCUAACUUCGUGCCAGCAGCCGCGGUAAUACGAAGGGUGCAAGCGUUGUUCGGAUUUAUUGGGCGUAAAGCGCGCGUAGGCGGACCUGCAAGUCAGAUGUGAAAUCUCGGGGCUCAACCCCGAAACUGCGUCUGAAACUACAGGUCUAGAAUCUUGGAGGGGGAAGGGGAAUAUCGCAUGUAGGGGUAAAAUCCGUAGAUAUGCGAUGGAACACCAGAGGCGAAGGCGCCUUCCUGGACAAGUAUUGACGCUGAGGCGCGAAAGCGUGGGGAUCAAACAGGAUUAGAUACCCCAGUAGUCC